GACGAACGCUGGCGGCGUGCUUAACACAUGCAAGUCGAACGGUAAGGCCCUUCGGGGUACACGAGUGGCGAACGGGUGAGUAACACGUGGGUGAUCUGCCCUGCACUUCGGGAUAAGCCUGGGAAACUGGGUCUAAUACCGGAUAGGACCACUGCCUGCAUGGGUGGCGGUGGAAAGCUUUUGCGGUGUGGGAUGGGCCCGCGGCCUAUCAGCUUGUUGGUGGGGUGAUGGCCUACCAAGGCGACGACGGGUAGCCGGCCUGAGAGGGUGACCGGCCACACUGGGACUGAGAUACGGCCCAGACUCCUACGGGAGGCAGCAGUGGGGAAUAUUGCGCAAUGGGCGCAAGCCUGAUGCAGCGACGCCGCGUGAGGGAUGACGGCCUUCGGGUUGUAAACCUCUUUCAGCACCGACGAAGCGCAAGUGACGGUAGGUGCAGAAGAAGGACCGGCCAACUACGUGCCAGCCGCCGCUGUAA
Molecule: ribosomal RNA, 478 nt
Filed under: uncultured bacterium
Lineage: Bacteria
Description: partial 16S ribosomal RNA
Rfam family: Bacterial small subunit ribosomal RNA
Source: RNAcentral